UGCGAGGUGUCAAACCGGAGGAAGGUGGGGAUGACGUCAAAUCAUCAUGCCCCUUAUGACCUGGGCUACACACGUGCUACAAUGGACAGAACAAAGGGCAGCGAAACCGCGAGGUUAAGCCAAUCCCACAAAUCUGUUCUCAGUUCGGAUCGCAGUCUGCAACUCGACUGCGUGAAGCUGGAAUCGCUAGUAAUCGCGGAUCAGCAUGCCGCGGUGAAUACGUUCCCGGGCCUUGUACUCACCGCCCGUCACACCACGAGAGUUUU
This 266-nucleotide ribosomal RNA is filed under the name Bacillus subtilis. RNAcentral's name for it is "partial 16S ribosomal RNA". It matches the Rfam family "Bacterial small subunit ribosomal RNA", at positions 1150 to 1414 of the family's 1533-position model. Lineage: Bacteria; Bacillati; Bacillota; Bacilli; Caryophanales; Bacillaceae. The record is from RNAcentral.